GUGAAAAAUUACAAAAAAUGGACAAUGCUUGGGUGGAAUAUCAAUUGAUACGCUGUGUCAUCUUCUCUAUCACAAUUCACAAUCCCCUGCAGAUAUUUCCUAUUUCAGUUCCCGCGCCCCGUCCCCCACACGCAGUCACACAGAAUGGCAGCGGCAGUGAAUUGCUACCUCUCAGUGACUUCAACAGCCACACCCACAUCUCAAGAUUCUCCACAGCCAGCAAUCACGAGGCCGCCGACCAAGAUCAUACUGCCCAAGAAAAAGCCUAUGAAAUGGUCUACAGGGGUGGCUCCGGGUGAGUAUGGGGGCCCACCCACCACAACGAAGCUCAGGAAAUACUGGGGUGGAGAUGAGGACCCUCUUGCCUCUGAUGAAUACUUGUGGAACAAAGACUUCAUGGGUCGAAUGAAAAAGUUCAUUCAAGACCCCGUCGAUGUCGACACUAAUUCUGACCCUCGAUUCUCAUCUGCGAAGGUCCAGUAUUUGGCCAAUUGAUUAUUUUUGGUUUGUCAUUAUCUGGGUUUUUUUGAGUGAUUUAUAUUGUGGGUUUUAUUUUUGCUGUUGCUUUUGUAUGAGAAAUUAGUAAAAAUGGGGAAUUUUUAGCGCUCAUUGAGAUUAAUUGUUUUGGAAUUUGGAACUUGGAUAAUACUGCUUGUUGAACAUUGUAUAGGGAUGUCUAGUGUCAUUUUUUUCCCCUUCUUUUCAGAGAGAAUUUCUAGAAUGUUCUGCUUGUCUAAUUAAUUGACUGUUCUACGAAGUACUGCUGAUCUAAUUUUUUGGUUUCAUUCCGAAACUGUUUGUUCUGAUUUUACCACAGAUUGAAUUUUUAUUGCUUUUAGUUGAUAAAUAUAUUGUCCAGGUAUCAGCACUGAAUUUGGUAAAUUAUACUGUUUUGGUAUGUUUCUGAACAGGAAGAGCCUUGUGGAUUUCUUAGCUUGAACAGAGUGAUGAGCUUGGACAGGUACACAACCUUUUAUUUUUGGAAAUUGUUAUUUUAUUUUGUCUUGAAUUCCUAUACUGCUUUCCCGUGUAAUAGUCCCACUCUUUGAGGAUGCAGUUUGGAAAUUGACUUGAGCAAAGAGUUAACAGCGACUUCAAGAUCUGCGGUUGAACCACGAGUUGAAGAAAUUCAAGUGUGACAGAUUUUAAGUUCCCUUUGAAAAAAUGGUCUGUAAAACUAGUUUGCAUUUGUUAUUUUCCAUACUCAUCAGGAUUGAAAUGAUUUGUAGAGUAAUAGCAUUGCUUCUCGAAAAUGGAGACCAGCCCCAACACGACGUGAGCUAGAGAAGUGGGACAGAGCUACUAAAGCUGCAACUGGAGGCAGUGUGUGUAGUUUCAUUUUGGACAUGCAAUUUUCUUCUCAUCUUAUAUGCUUAAACUUCUGUUUGCUUAAAACAAAUUGCUGAUUUUCGAGCUGAAUAUAUAUAUAUAUAUAUAUAUAUAUAUAUAUAUAUAUAUAUAUAUAUAUAUAUAUAUAUAUAUAUAUAUAUAUAUAUAUAUUGUAUUUUUUAAGAAUCC
Molecule: long non-coding RNA, 1518 nt
Filed under: Olea europaea subsp. europaea
Lineage: Eukaryota; Viridiplantae; Streptophyta; Magnoliopsida; Lamiales; Oleaceae
Source: RNAcentral